Long non-coding RNA from Mustela erminea (ermine), 1565 nucleotides. RefSeq lists it as uncharacterized. NCBI's taxonomy places the organism in Eukaryota, Metazoa, Chordata, Mammalia, Carnivora, Mustelidae. The transcript has 10 exons. The record is from RefSeq and is a predicted model, not a curated record.
CUCCGCGACCGCAGCUGCGCAGGAGCCGACCCUCUCAGACACCCCCUCCUCCAUCGCACCCUGCCUCGCUGUGUCUGUUGGAGGCGGGCGUGCUUUCCUUUCGUUGCUUCCGGUGGGUCGCAGCGUGCCGGCUGCAUCUCGUAGAGCACGUCUGAUCACUCUCACACAAAACAAUAUGACGACAGCCAUCACGUCCAUCCCCAUCCCCCUCCCCAUCAUCUUCUUUCUAAACUAAACAUCUUCCGUUCCUUGAUUACCUCUAGUGACAUUUGCCUCGAGGAAACUGUUGUUGGCCCCUCUGUUUUCUCUUUGAAAGGCUUUGCGGAGGGGUUUGCCACGGUGCCUGAGCUCCAGAGAAUGUAGAGGCUCACGAAGAACAAGAAAGCCCUUGUACCCAGCUAAUGGAGAGGUUCUGAUAUUGAAGAAGGCCAGGAUCUUUACGGAGGAUGACCAGAGCCUGCCUGGAGAGACGAUGGAGCUGAAUGAUUGGCCAUCCAGCAGGAAGCUGAGGAGAAGGAGGGAAACACAUUCUGGAAGCAUCAGUGGAAAGGGAAGCCAACAAUUUCCUGAGACUCAUGUCCGAGGAAUAUGGAUUUAAAUGAAAAGGUGGAACCAUUAUUGUAAGUGAAGACUCAGAUAAUACCUGUGAUGGGAAAGAAUGUGCCCAAGAUCCAUGGGAAGACCCAGUGAAGAGGAGACCUUUUAGAAAGAAGCAAAACAGGACAAAAAAUAAUAAGAGAAGGUGCAGCCUUGGGUUAUUGUUCUAAUGGAACUACACCUCGGAGGUUGGAUUAUUCCACCCAGUCUCUUCUGGGAUCUCCAUGACAUCAAAUACAGAGUGGUAGAGGAAUCCUCUAGCCACGGAUGCCCGUGCUAGAAGAUGAAACCGUCUCCACCACUAGGAUAAAAGUUCCAUUAUAAAUAAAAGAAGGUGGUGAUCCAUUGAUGACGUCUAUCUUGGGAAAGGAGUCGAUGGCUUGAAGGAAAGCAAUGGAAGCCUGAUGCAGCCUCAUCUGACAGUAACUAAAGAUAAAGAGGAAGCCUUCAACUUUUGAAUCUUGCUAUGAGUAAUUCAGCCUUGUUAUGGCAAGGUGUAAAGCUAAGGGGUAUGUUAUUACCAUGAACGUGCCCCUUGCAAAAUUGUUUCGUAUUUUUCCAAAAUUCGGCAAUUCUUUCUCUAUUAGAAAGAAGAGAGUCACUUUCCUCCAGCCAAAUAUAAAGCCUGGAUGCUGCCUAAAGAUCUUGGGAUUUGCACAGUUGGGAGCCUGAAACAAUACAGUUUGAGGUGUUUAACUUCUUAAGGCUCUCCCCCAAAGGUCAUCGAGUCUCUCUGCUGUCCAGCUCUCUUCCUGGAAAAACAAGAGACUUCCUGGGACGUCCCGCCAGUUUUCAGCAUUAUUUGCAAACUUGUAACCUAUGUGGUGGCCUUACCUGUGUACUCUGUACCCCAUACUAUUGCCAGGAUGACACCAGGCCCAAGCUGGUGCAUGUGUGUCUGCGUCUUCAUAUCCACAUCCACAUCCGUUUUUAGGGCUUCUAACUGUCUUCAAUACAUCUUUAUUCUA